GGGGGGACGGAGAAGGCUAUGUUGGCCGGGCGACGGUUGUCCCGGUUUAAGCGUGUAGGCUGGUUUUCCAGGCAAAUCCGGAAAACCAAGGCUGAGGCGUGAUGACGAGGCACUACGGUGCUGAAGCGACAAAUGCCCUGCUUCCAGGAAAAGCCUCUAAGCAUCAGGUAACAUCAAAUCGUACCCCAAACCGACACAGGUGGUCAGGUAGAGAAUACCAAGGCGCUUGAGAGAACUCGGGUGAAGGAACUAGGCAAAAUGGUGCCGUAACUUCGGGAGAAGGCACGCUGAUAUGUAGGUGAAGCGACUUGCUCGUGGAGCUGAAAUCAGUCGAAGAUACCAGCUGGCUGCAACUGUUUAUUAAAAACACAGCACUGUGCAAACACGAAAGUGGACGUAUACGGUGUGACGCCUGCCCGGUGCCGGAAGGUUAAUUGAUGGGGUUAGCGGCAACGCGAAGCUCUUGAUCGAAGCCCCGGUAAACGGCGGCCGUAACUAUAACGGUCCUAAGGUAGCGAAAUUCCUUGUCGGGUAAGUUCCGACCUGCACGAAUGGCGUAAUGAUGGCCAGGCUGUCUCCACCCGAGACUCAGUGAAAUUGAACUCGCUGUGAAGAUGCAGUGUACCCGCGGCAAGACGGAAAGACCCCGUGAACCUUUACUAUAGCUUGACACUGAACAUUGAGCCUUGAUGUGUAGGAUAGGUGGGAGGCUUUGAAGUGUGGACGCCAGUCUGCAUGGAGCCGACCUUGAAAUACCACCCUUUAAUGUUUGAUGUUCUAACGUUGGCCCGUAAUCCGGGUUGCGGACAGUGUCUGGUGGGUAGUUUGACUGGGGCGGUCUCCUCCUAAAGAGUAACGGAGGAGCACGAAGGUUGGCUAAUCCUGGUCGGACAUCAGGAGGUUAGUGCAAUGGCAUAAGCCAGCUUGACUGCGAGCGUGACGGCGCGAGCAGGUGCGAAAGCAGGUCAUAGUGAUCCGGUGGUUCUGAAUGGAAGGGCCAUCGCUCAACGGAUAAAAGGUACUCCGGGGAUAACAGGCUGAUACCGCCCAAGAGUUCAUAUCGACGGCGGUGUUUGGCACCUCGAUGUCGGCUCAUCACAUCCUGGGGCUGAAGUAGGUCCCAAGGGUAUGGCUGUUCGCCAUUUAAAGUGGUACGCGAGCUGGGUUUAGAACGUCGUGAGACAGUUCGGUCCCUAUCUGCCGUGGGCGCUGGAGAACUGAGGGGGGCUGCUCCUAGUACGAGAGGACCGGAGUGGACGCAUCACUGGUGUUCGGGUUGUCAUGCCAAUGGCACUGCCCGGUAGCUAAAUGCGGAAGAGAUAAGUGCUGAAAGCAUCUAAGCACGAAACUUGCCCCGAGAUGAGUUCUCCCUGAGACUUAGAGUCUCCUGAAGGAACGUUGAAGACGACGACGUUGAUAGGCCGGGUGUGUAAGCGCAGCGAUGCGUUGAGCUAACCGGUACUAAUGAACCGUGAGGCUUAACC
This 1484-nucleotide ribosomal RNA is filed under the name Escherichia coli. RNAcentral's name for it is "bacterial LSU rRNA". It matches the Rfam family "Bacterial large subunit ribosomal RNA", at positions 1466 to 2925 of the family's 2925-position model. The record is from RNAcentral. Lineage: Bacteria; Pseudomonadati; Pseudomonadota; Gammaproteobacteria; Enterobacterales; Enterobacteriaceae.